UAGCACGGGGAGCUUGCUCCUGGGUGACGAGCGGCGGACGGGUGAGUAAUGUCUGGGGAUCUGCCUGAUGGAGGGGGAUAACUACUGGAAACGGUAGCUAAUACCGCAUAACGUCGCAAGACCAAAGAGGGGGACCUUCGGGCCUCUUGCCAUCAGAUGAACCCAGAUGGGAUUAGCUAGUAGGUGGGGUAAUGGCUCACCUAGGCGACGAUCCCUAGCUGGUCUGAGAGGAUGACCAGCCACACUGGAACUGAGACACGGUCCAGACUCCUACGGGAGGCAGCAGUGGGGAAUAUUGCACAAUGGGCGCAAGCCUGAUGCAGCCAUGCCGCGUGUAUGAAGAAGGCCUUCGGGUUGUAAAGUACUUUCAGCGAGGAGGAAGGCGUUAAGGUUAAUAACCUUAGUGAUUGACGUUACUCGCAGAAGAAGCACCGGCUAACUCCGUGCCAGCAGCCGCGGUAAUACGGAGGGUGCAAGUUUUUAUCUUAAUUACUGGGCGUAAAGCGCACGCAGGCGGUUUGUUAAGUCGGAUGUGAAAUCCCCGGGCUCAACCUGGGAACUGCAUUCGAAACUGGCAAGCUUGAGUCUUGUAGAGGGGGGUAGAAUUCCAG
Molecule: ribosomal RNA, 611 nt
Filed under: Cedecea sp. 5hR3
Lineage: Bacteria; Pseudomonadati; Pseudomonadota; Gammaproteobacteria; Enterobacterales; Enterobacteriaceae
Description: bacterial SSU rRNA
Rfam family: Bacterial small subunit ribosomal RNA
Source: RNAcentral